CCUACGGGUGGCAGCAGUAGGGAAUCUUUCACAAUGGGCGAAAGCCUGAUGGAGCAACGCCGCGUGCAGGAUGAAGGCCUUCGGGUUGUAAACUGCUUUUAUAAGCGAGAAAUAUGAUGGUAACUUAUGAAUAAGGAUCGGCUAACUACGUGACAGCAGCCGCGGUCAUACGUAGGAUCCGAGCAUUAUCCGGAGUGACUGGGUGUUAAGAGUUGCGUAGGGGGCAUAAUAAGUAGCUAGUGAAAUCUGGUGGCUCAACCCCCGGACUGCUGUGGAAACUGUUCGGCUGGAGUGCAGGAGAGGUACGUGGAAUUCGUGGUGUAGCGGUGAAAUGCGUAGAUAUUAGGAGGAACACCAGUGGCGAAGGCAGCUUACUGGACUGUAACUGACGUUGAGGCUCGAAAGCGUGGGGAGCAAACAGGAUUAGAUACCCGAGUAGUC
Molecule: ribosomal RNA, 441 nt
Filed under: uncultured bacterium
Lineage: Bacteria
Description: partial 16S ribosomal RNA
Rfam family: Bacterial small subunit ribosomal RNA
Source: RNAcentral